Molecule: ribosomal RNA, 489 nt
Filed under: Triticum aestivum (bread wheat)
Lineage: Eukaryota; Viridiplantae; Streptophyta; Magnoliopsida; Poales; Poaceae
Description: partial small subunit ribosomal RNA
Source: RNAcentral
AUGCCUUGCUUGGAGACAAUAGUUUUUAAUAUGGGUGCCGUCAUUGCUAAACGGCUAGCCCUGAAUCAUACAAAAGGCCCCAUAUUUGGAGGUAUCUAUGCUUCGCGUCUUGCUAGACAUUUUAGGAUACCUAUUAGGCACCAUGAGGAAGAGGAGACAACAUUGCCUCCUCACAUUUUAGAUUACAAGAGCAUGGUAGCACACAAGUUUAUUGUCGACAACGAAGAGAGGAUGCUCUUGUAUAAACUUAGAUUCAAUAAGAAACACUUUGAGAUUAUUAUUUUGCCUGCGCCUCUAUUGUUUGAUUUUCUUGCAGAAAAAUUUCUUGUCACACCGGAAGCAGUGAACAAUCAUCGAGCCCAUGCUCUUACUCCAGAACCUGAGCCGGAACCUGAACUGGACCCUUAUCAUGCAUCAUCUGUCCAAUGGGAUCCGGAGAUGACCAGCCAUGGUAUCCUGAUUACACCUCGCAUUACACGGGGAGAGUAG